AUGCCGCGGCCGGCGCAGCCCGAGCCCGAGCCGCCGCAGCCCGGCGGCGAGACGCCGCCCAUCCACCGCCUCCUCGAGCUGAUCAAGUCCGAGCCCGACCCAGCCUCCGCGCUCGCCCACCUGGAGCUCCUCGUCUCCACCUGGCCGGCCUACACGCCGCCCCAGCCGCUCCUCUUCCACCUGCUGCGCCGCCUCGCCACCUCCGCCCCGGCCCGCCUCCCGCGCCUCCUCGGCCUCCUCCCGAGCCUCCGCCACCGCCCGCGCUUCUCCGAGCCCGCCGCGCUCGUCGUCCUCUCCGCCUUCUCCCGCGCGCUCAUGCCCGACGCCGCGCUCGCCGCCUUCCGCCGCCUCCCUGCCUUCCUCGGCUGCAACCCGGGCGUCCGCUCCCAUAACGCCCUCCUCGACGCUCUCGUGCGGGCCCGUCGCUUCUCCGACGCUGACGCCUUCUUCGCGUCCCUCUCCCAUGGCGCCUUCGGGCGCCGCAUUGCCCCCAACCUCCAGACUUACAACAUCAUCCUCCGCUCCCUCUGCGGACGUGGGGACCUAGACCGAGCUCUGAUGCUCUUUGACUCCGUUCGCCGCCGCGGAGUUGCUCCAGACCGCGUCACCUACUCCACUCUCAUGUCUGGGCUUGUCAAACACAGCCGCUUGGACAUGGCACUUUACCUGCUCGACGAAAUGCCGACCUAUGAAGUGCAGCCUGAUGCGGUUUGUUACAAUGCAGUGCUCCGAGGGUGUUUCAGGAAUGGUGAGUUUGAGAAAGCUAUGCGGGUGUGGGAGCAGCUGGUGAGAGAUCCUGGUUCAAGUCCCAACCCCUCCACUUACAAUGCGAUGCUUGAUGGCUUGUGUAAACUUGGGAGGUUUAAGGAGGCGGGUGAGGUAUGGGAGAGGAUGAUUGCAAAUAAUCACCAAGUCGGCAUGAUUACCUAUGGGAUUCUGAUUCACGGUUUGUGCCGGUCACGGGAUGUGGAUGGUGCAGCAAGGGUAUAUUCAGAGAUGAUCAAGACUGGGCUUGUUCCUGAUGUUGCCAUAUAUAAUUCACUCAUCAAGGGGUUCUGCCAAGCUGGGAGAGUAGGAGAGGCUUGGAAAUUCUGGGACUCUACCAGUGUUUCUGGCAUCCGUAAUGUGAUAACGUAUAAUAUAAUGCUGAAGGGGCUCUUUGAUGGUGGCAUGGUCGAUGAAGCUAGAGAAUUGUGGGAGCUAUUGGAGAAAGACACUUCGUCCUCUCCUGACAUGGUGAGUUUUGGCACUAUGAUCCAUGGGUUAUGUGAGAAAGGCUUUGCUAACAAGGCACUUCAAAUCUUAGUGGAAGCACAGACCAGUGGUAAAAAAUUAGAUGCAUUCUCAUAUUCAUCCAUGAUAAGUGGACUGUGCAAUGAUGGGAGACUAGACGAUGCAGUUAAGUUAUAUGAAAAGAUAUCUAUGGAUGGCUGCAAACUGAAUCCUCAUAUUUACAAUGCACUAAUAAAAGGGUUCUGCCAAGCAUCUAAGUUUAGUGAUGCUGUAAGAAUAUACGGCGAGAUGGCAAACAAUGGUUGUUCUCCUACUGUCAUCACUUACAACACUCUAAUAGAUGGACUAUGUAAGGCUGAAAAGUAUCAAGAUGCUUCAAGCUUUACAAAAGAAAUGUUGGAGAAAGGUUGUAAACUAGAUGUCAAUACUUAUGCUUCAUUGAUUUGUGGCCUUUGUAGAGACAAAAAGGUUGAUGCUGCCCUUGCUCUGUGGAAUCAAAUUCUUGAUAAGGGUCUUCAGGCAGAUGUCAUGAUGCACAACAUUUUAAUCCAUGGUCUUUGUUCUGCUGGGAAAGUAGAUGAAGCUUCACGUUUUCUCUCUGAGAUGAAAGAGAAGAAUAACUGCCGCCCAAAUCUAGUGACCUAUAACACACUCAUGGAUGGAUUUUAUGAAAUGGGUUGUUUUGACAAAGCAGCGUCUCUGUGGACAGCUAUUUUAGAAAAUGGUCUGGUACCUGAUAUAAUUUCAUAUAAUACAAGAAUUAAGGGUCUAUGCUCUUGUCACAGAACACCUGAGGGUGUCCAAUUAUUGGAUGAGGUGCUUGCACAAGGAAUUGUACCAACAGCCAUCACGUGGAAUAUACUGGUCAGAGCUGUCAUCAAAUAUGGACCUAUUCAAAUAUGA
This 2136-nucleotide ribosomal RNA is filed under the name Triticum aestivum (bread wheat). Its description in RNAcentral is "partial small subunit ribosomal RNA". The record is from RNAcentral. Lineage: Eukaryota; Viridiplantae; Streptophyta; Magnoliopsida; Poales; Poaceae.